Molecule: long non-coding RNA, 776 nt
Filed under: Homo sapiens (human)
Lineage: Eukaryota; Metazoa; Chordata; Mammalia; Primates; Hominidae
Description: HSALNT0235986
Source: RNAcentral
UCUUCUAUCAGCAAACAUUGAUGUUCUUUUCUUACAUCUUUUAAUGAAGCUGACAUUAGGGAGAUGUUUCAUUUUCAUAAAGUCAAACGGCUGCCUUUUAAGAGGGUUUGGGUUCCAUGUUAAUGUUUCAAAGCCUUAACUAGGGGAUGGGUGUUUGGUGGAAGUAGAAAAGGAAUUAGGAGGACUUCUUCCCUGUUGGUCCAAGAGGAGCUGCUUUGAGAGGUCAGAUGCCCAGGGGACCCGGUACAGCGUGCCAGCCCCCCUCCCCAAGCUAAUGAGCUCUAAAAGUAUCAAUGCGAUGAGCUCAGCCCUGCAAGUGAAAUCAUUCAGCAGUGCUGCUCUCAUAGCUGUGCCUGCCUCUCACUGACCACGGCUUAAAUCCUCCCUCCCUGCAGCCACCUCUGGGGACCUCCAGAGCUAAUUGCUUCAGGGAGCUUCAUUGAAAUGAAGCACCCUCAGCUGCUCAUAAAAGCUUUAUCGUGGGCGAAGGCUGACCCAGACGGAACAGUAGCAUCUAUCUCCCAGGUCAGGGGGCCAAAGGCGCCGGCCGAGGCAGGAUCUAGGCUUACAGAAAUAACUCGGUUAGGUAUUAAAAAGCCGGGGGCGGGGGAAGAGGCUGUAAUUUUAUCUCUUCCCGAGUGCCCCUCUCUUUACAAUUUGGGCCUUACCUGGUGACUAUGUGUACUUGAGUCACUCAUUGUGGGCCAAACAACCUCAAGAUGCAAUUUCUUUCAAAGGUAGAAAAAAAAUAAAUAAACGAAAGUCUGCUCCUGCUG